RNAcentral lists this signal recognition particle RNA (202 nucleotides) under Desulfobotulus alkaliphilus. RNAcentral's name for it is "Bacterial large signal recognition particle RNA". The stretch from base 82 to 180 matches the Rfam family "Bacterial small signal recognition particle RNA". Lineage: Bacteria; Pseudomonadati; Thermodesulfobacteriota; Desulfobacteria; Desulfobacterales; Desulfobacteraceae. The record is from RNAcentral.
AAAAACUAAGUGAAGAAUGUCUUGUCAAGAAGCUUAUGGGGCUGUAUAUUCCCCGAGUGAAUGAGCCUCCAGGGGUAUCCUGACCGGCCGCUGCGUAACAUACCAUCAUGAACCUCGUCAGAUCCGGAAGGAAGCAGCGAUAAGUGAAACGGUAUGUGUCGUGGAUCGAUCCCGGUCAGGAUACCCUUGGAGGUUUGUUUUA